This 1357-nucleotide ribosomal RNA is filed under the name Vibrio parahaemolyticus. RNAcentral's name for it is "bacterial SSU rRNA". It matches the Rfam family "Bacterial small subunit ribosomal RNA", at positions 91 to 1444 of the family's 1533-position model. The record is from RNAcentral. Lineage: Bacteria; Pseudomonadati; Pseudomonadota; Gammaproteobacteria; Vibrionales; Vibrionaceae.
UCGAGCGGCGGACGGGUGAGUAAUGCCUAGGAAAUUGCCCUGAUGUGGGGGAUAACCAUUGGAAACGAUGGCUAAUACCGCAUGAUGCCUACGGGCCAAAGAGGGGGACCUUCGGGCCUCUCGCGUCAGGAUAUGCCUAGGUGGGAUUAGCUAGUUGGUGAGGUAAGGGCUCACCAAGGCGACGAUCCCUAGCUGGUCUGAGAGGAUGAUCAGCCACACUGGAACUGAGACACGGUCCAGACUCCUACGGGAGGCAGCAGUGGGGAAUAUUGCACAAUGGGCGCAAGCCUGAUGCAGCCAUGCCGCGUGUGUGAAGAAGGCCUUCGGGUUGUAAAGCACUUUCAGUCGUGAGGAAGGUAGUGUAGUUAAUAGCUGCAUUAUUUGACGUUAGCGACAGAAGAAGCACCGGCUAACUCCGUGCCAGCAGCCGCGGUAAUACGGAGGGUGCGAGCGUUAAUCGGAAUUACUGGGCGUAAAGCGCAUGCAGGUGGUUUGUUAAGUCAGAUGUGAAAGCCCGGGGCUCAACCUCGGAAUUGCAUUUGAAACUGGCAGACUAGAGUACUGUAGAGGGGGGUAGAAUUUCAGGUGUAGCGGUGAAAUGCGUAGAGAUCUGAAGGAAUACCGGUGGCGAAGGCGGCCCCCUGGACAGAUACUGACACUCAGAUGCGAAAGCGUGGGGAGCAAACAGGAUUAGAUACCCUGGUAGUCCACGCCGUAAACGAUGUCUACUUGGAGGUUGUGGCCUUGAGCCGUGGCUUUCGGAGCUAACGCGUUAAGUAGACCGCCUGGGGAGUACGGUCGCAAGAUUAAAACUCAAAUGAAUUGACGGGGGCCCGCACAAGCGGUGGAGCAUGUGGUUUAAUUCGAUGCAACGCGAAGAACCUUACCUACUCUUGACAUCCAGAGAACUUUCCAGAGAUGGAUUGGUGCCUUCGGGAACUCUGAGACAGGUGCUGCAUGGCUGUCGUCAGCUCGUGUUGUGAAAUGUUGGGUUAAGUCCCGCAACGAGCGCAACCCUUAUCCUUGUUUGCCAGCGAGUAAUGUCGGGAACUCCAGGGAGACUGCCGGUGAUAAACCGGAGGAAGGUGGGGACGACGUCAAGUCAUCAUGGCCCUUACGAGUAGGGCUACACACGUGCUACAAUGGCGCAUACAGAGGGCGGCCAACUUGCGAAAGUGAGCGAAUCCCAAAAAGUGCGUCGUAGUCCGGAUUGGAGUCUGCAACUCGACUCCAUGAAGUCGGAAUCGCUAGUAAUCGUGGAUCAGAAUGCCACGGUGAAUACGUUCCCGGGCCUUGUACACACCGCCCGUCACACCAUGGGAGUGGGCUGCAAAAGAAGUAGGUAGUUUAACCUUCG